GAUGAACGCUGGCGGCGUGCCUAAUACAUGCAAGUCGAGCGAACGGACGAGAAGCUUGCUUCUCUGAUGUUAGCGGCGGACGGGUGAGUAACACGUGGAUAACCUACCUAUAAGACUGGGAUAACUUCGGGAAACCGGAGCUAAUACCGGAUAAUAUUUUGAACCGCAUGGUUCAAAAGUGAAAGACGGUCUUGCUGUCACUUAUAGAUGGAUCCGCGCUGCAUUAGCUAGUUGGUAAGGUAACGGCUUACCAAGGCAACGAUGCAUAGCCGACCUGAGAGGGUGAUCGGCCACACUGGAACUGAGACACGGUCCAGACUCCUACGGGAGGCAGCAGUAGGGAAUCUUCCGCAAUGGGCGAAAGCCUGACGGAGCAACGCCGCGUGAGUGAUGAAGGUCUUCGGAUCGUAAAGCUCUGUUAUUAGGGAAGAACAUAUGUGUAAGUAACUGUGCACAUCUUGACGGCACCUAAUCAGGAAGCCACGGCUAACUACGUG
Molecule: ribosomal RNA, 497 nt
Filed under: uncultured bacterium
Lineage: Bacteria
Description: partial 16S ribosomal RNA
Rfam family: Bacterial small subunit ribosomal RNA
Source: RNAcentral